Molecule: ribosomal RNA, 374 nt
Filed under: uncultured bacterium
Lineage: Bacteria
Description: bacterial SSU rRNA
Rfam family: Bacterial small subunit ribosomal RNA
Source: RNAcentral
GUAGGAGGCAAACGUUAUCCGGAUUUACUGGGCGUAAAGCGCAUGCAGGCGGUUUUUUAAGUCGGACGUGAAAGCUCCUGGCUCAACUAGGAGAGGCCGUUCGAAACUAGAAGACUUGAGGAUGGUAGAGGAGAGUGGAAUUCCCGGUGUAGUGGUGAAAUGCGUAGAUAUCGGGAGGAACACCAGUGGCGAAAGCGGCUCUCUGGGCCAUUCCUGACGCUCAGAUGCGAAAGCUAGGGGAGAGAACGGGAUUAGAAACCCCGGUAUUCCUAGCCGUAAACGAUGUCAACUAGGCGUAGGAGGUCAUUUACCCCUUCUGUGCUGUAGCUAACGCGUUAAGUUGACCGCCUGGGGACUACGGCCGCAAGGCUAAA